AAAGUUUGAUUCUGGCUCAGGAUAACGCUAGCGACAGGCCUAACACAUGCAAGUCGAGGGGCCACUCAAGUGGCGACCGGCGCACGGGUGAGUAACGCGUAUGCAACCUGCCUACUACAAGGGGAUAACCCGUUGAAAGACGGACUAAUACCCUAUAACAGGGUAUCCGCAUGGAUUAUUUGUUAAAGAUUUAUCGGUAGUAGAUGGGCAUGCGUUCCAUUAGCUUGUUGGUGAGGUAACGGCUCACCAAGGCAACGAUGGAUAGGGGAACUGAGAGGUUGAUCCCCCACACUGGAACUGAGACACGGUCCAGACUCCUACGGGAGGCAGCAGUGAGGAAUAUUGGUCAAUGGACGAGAGUCUGAACCAGCCAAGUCGCGUGAAGGCGGUACGUUGACUUCUUUUGUAAGGGCGCCACCUUACGAAUAAGGAUCGGCAACUCCGUGCCAGCAGCCGCGGUAAUACGGAGGAUCCGAGCGUUAUCCGGAUUUAUUGGGUUUAAAGGGUGCGCAGGCGGCAUGUUAAGUCGGCGGUGAAAUUUUGCAGCUCAACUGUAAAAGAGCCUUCGAAACUGGCAAGCUUGAGUGUGGAUGAAGUAGGCGGAAUUUGUGGUGUAGCGGUGAAAUGCAUAGAUAUCACAAAGAACACCGAUUGCGCAGGCAGCUUACUAAACCUAACUGACGCUCAUGCACGAAGGCGUGGGGAUCAAACAGGAUUAGAUACCCUGGUAGUCCACGCAGUAAACGAUGAUUACUGGCUGUUUGCGAUACAGUAAGCGGCUGAGCGAAAGCGUUAAGUAAUCCACCUGGGGAGUACGUUCGCAAGAAUGAAACUCAAAGGAAUUGACGGGGACCCGCACAAGCAGCGGAGCAUGUGGUUUAAUUCGAAGCAACGCGAAGAACCUUACCAGGUCACAUCUCUGACCAUCCUAGAGAUAGGACUUUUUCGCAGAGGAAGGUGGUGCAUGGUUGUCGUCAGCUCGUGUCGUGAGAUGUUGGGUUAAGUCCCGCAACGAGCGCAACCCCUGUGGUUAGUUGCCAUCAUUUAGUUGGGCACUCUAAGCAGACUGCCGUAGAUAAUACAGGAAGGUGGGGACGACGUCAAAUCAUCAUGCCCCUUAUGACCUGGGCUACACACGUGCUACAAUGGUCUGAACAGAGGGUUGCGAAGCCGCGAGGUGAAGCUAUCCCUAAAACAGAUCCCAGUUCGGAUUGCAGGCUGCAACUCGCCUGCAUGAAGUUGGAGUUGCUAGUAAUCGCGGAUCAGAAUGCCGCGGUGAAUGCGUUCCCGGGUGUGGUACACAUCCCCCGUC
RNAcentral lists this ribosomal RNA (1312 nucleotides) under uncultured Bacteroidota bacterium. RNAcentral's name for it is "uncultured Bacteroidetes bacterium partial 16S ribosomal RNA". It matches the Rfam family "Bacterial small subunit ribosomal RNA". Lineage: Bacteria; Pseudomonadati; Bacteroidota. The record is from RNAcentral.